RNAcentral lists this ribosomal RNA (459 nucleotides) under uncultured bacterium. RNAcentral describes it as "partial 16S ribosomal RNA". It matches the Rfam family "Bacterial small subunit ribosomal RNA", at positions 338 to 795 of the family's 1533-position model. The record is from RNAcentral.
CCUACGGGAGGCAGCAGUGAGGAAUAUUGGUCAAUGGGCGCGAGCCUGAACCAGCCAAGUCGCGUGAGGGAAGACGGUCCUAUGGAUUGUAAACCUCUUUUGUCGGGGAGCAAAAGACGCCAUGCGUGGCGUUCCGAGAGUACCCGAAGAAAAAGCAUCGGCUAACUCCGUGCCAGCAGCCGCGGUAAUACGGAGGAUGCGAGCGUUAUCCGGAUUUAUUGGGGUAAAGGGGUGCGCAGGCGGAAGAUCAAGUCAGCGGGAAAAUUGAGGGGCCAAACCUCUUCGAGCCGGUGAAACUGGGUUUCUUGAGUGAGUGAGAAGUAUGCGGAAUGCGUGGUGUAGCGGUGAAAUGCAUAGAUAUCACGCAGAACUCCGAUUGCGAAGGCAGCAUACCGGCGCUCAACUGACGCUCAUGCACGAAAGUGUGGGUAGCGAACAGGAUUAGAUACCCGUGUAGUC